RNAcentral lists this ribosomal RNA (387 nucleotides) under uncultured bacterium. Its description in RNAcentral is "bacterial SSU rRNA". It matches the Rfam family "Bacterial small subunit ribosomal RNA", at positions 28 to 417 of the family's 1533-position model. The record is from RNAcentral.
GACGAACGCUGGCGGCGUGCUUAACACAUGCAAGUCGAGCGGUAAGGCCCUUCGGGGGUACACGAGCGGCGAACGGGUGAGUAACACGUGGGUGACCUGCCCUCAGCUCUGGGAUAAGCCUGGGAAACCGGGUCUAAUACUGGAUAUGACUCCAUGACGCAUGUUGUGGGGUGGAAAGCCUUGUGCGGCUGAGGAUGGGCCCGCGGCCUAUCAGCUUGUUGGUGGGGUGANGGCCUACCAAGGCGACGACGGGUAGCCGGCCUGAGAGGGCGACCGGCCACACUGGGACUGAGACACGGCCCAGACUCCUACGGGAGGCAGCAGUGGGGAAUCUUGCGCAAUGGGCGAAAGCCUGACGCAGCGACGCCGCGUGAGGGAUGACGGCCU